AUUGAACGCUGGCGGCAUGCUUUACACAUGCAAGUCGAACGGUAACAGGCCGCAAGGUGCUGACGAGUGGCGAACGGGUGAGUAAUGCAUCGGAACGUGCCCAGUCGUGGGGGAUAACUACUCGAAAGAGUAGCUAAUACCGCAUACGAUCUAUGGAUGAAAGCGGGGGACCGUAAGGCCUCGCGCGAUUGGAGCGGCCGAUGUCAGAUUAGGUAGUUGGUGGGGUAAAGGCUCACCAAGCCAACGAUCUGUAGCUGGUCUGAGAGGACGACCAGCCACGCUGGGACUGAGACACGGCCCAGACUCCUACGGGAGGCAGCAGUGGGGAAUUUUGGACAAAGGGCGCAAGCCUGAUCCAGCAAUGCCGCGUGCAGGAAGAAGGCCUUCGGGUUGUAAACUGCUUUUGUACGGAACGAAACGGCUCUGGUUAAUACCCGGGGCUAAUGACGGUACCGUAAGAAUAAGCACCGGCUAACUACGUG
Molecule: ribosomal RNA, 482 nt
Filed under: uncultured bacterium
Lineage: Bacteria
Description: partial 16S ribosomal RNA
Rfam family: Bacterial small subunit ribosomal RNA
Source: RNAcentral